This 492-nucleotide ribosomal RNA is filed under the name uncultured bacterium. RNAcentral describes it as "partial 16S ribosomal RNA". It matches the Rfam family "Bacterial small subunit ribosomal RNA", at positions 29 to 507 of the family's 1533-position model. The record is from RNAcentral.
AGUGAACGCUGGCGGUAGGCCUAACACAUGCAAGUCGAACGGCAGCACAGUAAGAGCUUGCUCUUACGGGUGGCGAGUGGCGGACGGGUGAGGAAUACAUCGGGAUCUACUUUUUCGUGGGGGAUAACGUAGGGAAACUUACGCUAAUACCGCAUACGACCUACGGGUGAAAGUAGGGGAUCUUCGGACCUUGCGCGAUUGAAUGAGCCGAUGUCGGAUUAGCUAGUUGGCGGGGUAAAGGCCCACCAAGGCGACGAUCCGUAGCUGGUCUGAGAGGAUGAUCAGCCACACUGGAACUGAGACACGGUCCAGACUCCUACGGGAGGCAGCAGUGGGGAAUAUUGGACAAUGGGCGCAAGCCUGAUCCAGCCAUACCGCGUGGGUGAAGAAGGCCUUCGGGUUGUAAAGCCCUUUUGUUGGGAAAGAAAAGCAGCAGGUUAAUACCCCGCUGUUCUGACGGUACCCAAAGAAUAAGCACCGGCUAACUUCGUG